AAGUGAUGAUUUCUACGUUGUUUUUGGUGAUUGACUCUUUACAAUAUGUGCCUGAUCAGUGUUAAACAGGACAAAUUCACUAACCUAUGGCAUCUCUGGUCGUUUAUUAGCAAAGGAUGUUACCUCUGCAGCAUUUCCUGUCUUCUCCUCGGUAUCGAGGCUUCAAAGUAAAAGCAUACAUGGAACAUUAUAAACAUUACAGCUGGUUCAGAGGCUUUUAACUUUUUUUAUUUUUACAACCCUAGCUGUUCCAAUAUGUUGAUGUGCAAAGGAGAAAAAGGUGCUUGAAUAUCAACUGUUUUACACCGGUACAGUGCUGUUCAAUAUUGCUUUUAUGUUGAAGGACUCUGACUGGCUGAUUUCCCCCUAUGCUUGGCAUGUUUAAAAUAAUGGUCAGUGGUGAAUUUACACAGGUGUAUGUGGAUGAAAACUUUUCUAAAAAUGAUCCUGUGUAUACGGUAUUAUUUUUCAAAUAAUACCGUAUACACAUUAAGUGGGGGAGAUAUUUGUUUUUUUUUUAAAUAUCCUGCUAUUUGUGUACAUGGCCUGAUUUUUCAAUCUGCAAGUUGGAAAUUUCAACUGGAAUGCCCUUUAAGCUGGAAACACGAGCCUGGCUACUACUUGCAGCAAUAUUGAGUAAAGCUUCACACUUUGAUUGUUUCAGCAGUUUCCUAUUAUCUUUGUAAUAUUUAGUCAGUCAUACAGGUACUACUGUUCAGUGUUCAUUAGACAGGAUAGUUCCGCGCUUAUAUAGACAAAAUUGCCAUUAUUUUAACAAUAGCAGCCAUAGUGGCUAAACAAGCAGUCAAGAAUAACCACCCAUUGCUGUUUAACAUUUCACGUUCAGUUGAACAGUUCAGCACAGCUUAUAAAAAUAAAAAGAAAGGUUUUGCAAUUAAACGUAACUUUAAAACCCAUUUUGAGGCUCUGGUUGGCUGUAUUUGUAUUUAUCAAUGGCUUUGGAAUGAGCAUACAUGUUUUUUCCUACUGUCAACCUCUAGGGAAAAAGGCGGAGAUGAUGUGAUCUGCGACUCGUUAGUUUCGAGUUCCGUGGCAAAUGAAACACACCAUAAGUCCACGGUUAUCUCCUCAGAACCCCCUACUGCAGCUUUAAACCAAAACGUCGCCGCUCCACAGAUCUCCAGGGCCUCCUGCACAGCCGAGCAGACAUCUGCAGCUGAGAUCCCCCCGUGCCUCUCAUCAUGAGAUUAUAGAGCUGUUUUGGAGAGGCCAUAUUUUGAUUUAAAGCCUCUGUCACAUGAACAUAAUGCACUCGUACAAGCAGGCUAGCGGGCUCUUUUCAGCACACAGGAACAGUGCUGUGGGAGAGCGUGAAUAAGUCUGCUUAUUACUCAGCGAACCACCAAAGAUCCAAGGUUGUCACUAUUACACAAUGGUUUACCUCUUCAAAUGUGCCGAUGCCUUUCAUUCAAAAACAUUGGACGUCUUUGUCGAGCAGAACGGUGAGGACUGAGACGGACCACUUAUUGUGCCACCCACGCACAACUGCUGCACGCAGCAUCAGAAAGGAAACAAAGACGGCCACGAAAGUAAAAGAAGAGGAAAAGAUGGAUCCUGGGCACCGAGAAUAAGACAGAAGAAACAAAAGCAGAAUCGUGUCUGUUGUUUCCAACUGCAGCUCGGAAAGAAAAGCUUUCCAUCUAAAACUGGAGGCAGGCAACAGAUGAGAGUGCUCACCAGAUUCUGAGUGCGAGGAACAAGUGCUGCUCUUGGCGAAUACAUUAAAGCCCGAAGCUCAUGCCAGCGUAUCUUUGUCAUUCAGCAUCGUUGUUACUUAUCUAUUUAAAUUGUUUGGGGCUUACGAAUAUAAUUGAGGUACUAAUUUAUCUUGUAGGUGACGCAUGCAUUCAAUCAGUCUGUCAGCGCUCUGCAAGUCUGCAAAUCUUCGCUGUUAAGAUAUCAUUUGUUUGCAAAAGCUUGUUUGUUUUUUUUACUCACAGUUAUGUGAAGAAUAGAUAUGAUCUCACACAAAGAGACACACACAAUAUGACUCAUUAUUAACCAUAUUUAGGUAUAAAAUGUUAAGACAGCCUUGCUGAAACAUCUAAGGUUUACUAAUGCUACUCAUUGAAAUUCCAAGUUUUUAUUUAUUUAUGUAUUUAUUGCAUCUGUGAUCUGACAUGCAGAGAUUUUCAGGUACCUUUGAGAUAUAUUUUAUGCUAUUAGCGUCUUCAGUCUUCAAGGCUUUGCAAAAGUAUUCCUGUCCUGUGAACUUUUUCACAUUUUGUCACAUUAAAACCCAAACUUCUGUGUAUUUUGAUAAUUACUGUGUGCUCAACACAAGUUGGAAAAUGUCAAGAGGGAUGAUUGCUCUUCCAAGACACUGUGCAUACCACAAUACUUACUACUCAUGCAGAUUUUUGUCUUGAUGUUUCCGUAGAAUAACGUCCGUCUACCGCAUUUGCCUGUUCAUUGUCUGGGUUGUUCGACACGUUUUGGCAGAAUCAGUUUAUAUUGUGUAAAUGAAACACCAGACACGGACCACAUUCAACAAACUAUGACCAAAUGAAUUCACGUUUGAAGAACCAUAACAACAUUUGACAAGCCAAGUGAUAGGGAUCCAAACUACUGCAUAUUAAUAACUUUUCUUUUUAAUUAUUUGCAACAGCCCCAAAUAGCAACUAAUAUCCAAAGCUUAAACCCCUGAAUCAUUAAUGAAUAAAGGAAGCACACAUCACAGAAAAAUAAAAAAAAAACUUGAUUUGGAUGCAUUUAUUAAAUUAUUAAUGAUUAUCUGCUGUAAUUACAGUCAGUUCUUGCAGAGUUAAUCUCUCUGUAUGUGCAGAGCAGAAGGGAUGUAACCGAAGUAAAAGCAACUUUUUGACCCCGGCAACGCUGGCAACUUGUGGUAACCUCUGAAAUGUAUGAAAAUUGGCUUUUUGAAUACCUGUUUGAAACUACUGAAAAUCCUAGAAAUAAAUAUUUUUCCCUCCACACUCCUCGGGUAUCUCCCUUACCAUUUCAAAAAUAUACUCUCCAUUUUUCAUUUGCUGGAAUAUUGAUUAAUUUAGCUAUUAAACUGUUUUCAGCAGCAACAGAUGAAAAUCAAUUGUUUCUUCGCAGCCUAAAACAAUCCUGUCACAACACAUGGUAUCGCUUUUGAACACUUGAAUUUACG
Fundulus heteroclitus (mummichog) is the source of this 3139-nucleotide long non-coding RNA. RefSeq lists it as uncharacterized. Lineage: Eukaryota; Metazoa; Chordata; Actinopteri; Cyprinodontiformes; Fundulidae. The transcript has 3 exons. The record is from RefSeq and is a predicted model, not a curated record.